RNAcentral lists this ribosomal RNA (371 nucleotides) under uncultured bacterium. RNAcentral's name for it is "bacterial SSU rRNA". It matches the Rfam family "Bacterial small subunit ribosomal RNA", at positions 527 to 896 of the family's 1533-position model. The record is from RNAcentral.
GUAGGGUCCGAGCGUUAAUCGGAAUUACUGGGCGUAAAGUGUGCGCAGGCGGCGUUGCAAGUCGAGUGUGAAAGCCCCGGGCUUAACUUGGGAAUUGCGCUCGAAACUACGAUGCUGGAGUGUGGCAGAGGAAGGUGGAAUUCCACGUGUAGCGGUGAAAUGCGUAGAGAUGUGGAGGAACACCGAUGGCGAAGGCAGCCUUCUGGGCCAACACUGACGCUCAUGCACGAAAGCGUGGGGAGCAAACAGGAUUAGAUACCCUGGUAGUCCACGCCCUAAACGAUGAUGACUGGUUGUUGGAGGAGUUAAAUCCUUUAGUAACGCGGCUAACGCGUGAAGUCAUCCGCCUGGGGAGUACGGUCGCAAGAUUA